Molecule: long non-coding RNA, 1494 nt
Filed under: Equus asinus (donkey)
Lineage: Eukaryota; Metazoa; Chordata; Mammalia; Perissodactyla; Equidae
Description: lncRNA (ENSEASG00005023633.1)
Source: RNAcentral
CCAGCACAGGGCGCUGAUGUCACAGGUUGGCAUCUCCUUUGUGACAGAUGCACCGGGGGCAGAAUGAUGAAGGAUGUCUGCACUUCUCUCUUUGGCUGGUUUUCUUAGCAAGUCCACAAAAGUAUAGCAAGCAUCUCUCCGUGUCAGGCACAGUUCUUGGUGCUGAGGAUGGGACAGUGAACAAGAGAAAGCCUUGGAUGUUAAGGAGCCUACGUUAUAGCGGGGGGUGAUGGCGCUGUGCUCUGAGCUCGGUGUGGGUGAUGAUGACCAGUCUUCCUCCUCAGGCUUCUAGAGUGUGGGUGCCAGUCCUGCCAUGGCCUGCUUCGCCUCCAGUUUGUGCACCUCCUGAUCGGGAGAAGUCAUGGUGUCUUCCUGGCUUCUGCUUUGCCUCUAGUCGCACUGCUCUUCCUCCCACAGAAGUGGGCUCUGGGCUGGCCUUGGCUUCCUUCAGGCCAGUCCUGCGUGCUCUCCACCCAGCCGUGGAUGAGGAUGGCAUCCUGCCCACGCCCAGGUAGCGUUUCCCGGUUUGGUUUCCUGCUGUCAUUUCCGUUUGCUUGUGUUUGUCCCCGCGCCACUCCCUCACCAGGCCUCCUCCGGAGUUUAUGUCACCUCGACCUCUUCCCAAAGGACGCAAAGGCCAGUAAUGAGUCUGAAUGCGAGCUGUAACGUUUGGUGGUUGUUCUGAAAAUCUUGAUGGUUUAAUCUAUUUCCAGUGCUUUCUGGUGCCUCAAACCAGCAUGUACCCUGAGAGUCUCUGUCCUUUUAUAUGCAGCAGCUUUUAGCUCCAUUGUAAAAGAAAAAAUUCUCCAUCAUUAAAUGUAGCGCAAACAUUUUGGAAAUGUAACGAAUGCUUCAAACGUACAGUGUUUAACGUUUUUCUUGAAAAGUCUUUUGAGCUCUCAGGCUGGGCAAAGGUUGACUCCCCUGAAGGGAGCUGGGCCAAGGAAAAUAGACAUGACCUCUGUUCUGUCCCAGGAAAUGAGAGCUCAGAGUAGCUUCUUCCCCAGGGGUGAUCAGGUUUGUGGAUGGCCCUGGGAAUCUCAAAGGCUCUCUCUGGGGUGGUGGUGAGGGAAGGAGGGGAGAGACUGUGGCUGCACGGGACACCUGGGUUUGGAUCUCUGUCUGGCUGCUUCACAGCUGUCGUGUUUGAGGUUAGUCCCACUGGACUCAGUUUUCUCAUCUAGGGACGUUGAAAAAAAUACCCAUUUCAUGGGAUUAUUUAGAGGAGGACUCUGUGGGUUUUGAGUGGGACAAGCAGGGGGCUUCAGAACCAGUGCCCCGAGCUGCUAUUCUGCUGGGAGUGCUGCCUCACCCUGUUCCCAGGUGGGCUUCCUGUGGCAGCAGCUUGAUCUGUAGAUACCCCAAAAGGUUUAUCCACCGUUGAAGGAAAACCAAAUUGGAAUCGAUUCAAACGAUCAGUGCUAUGUAGGGAGUUGGGUAAACCGAUCAGAGUUUAGGGACUCAGAAGUCUGGCUCUGUCACUCUCUAGUUGUG